RNAcentral lists this ribosomal RNA (459 nucleotides) under uncultured bacterium. RNAcentral describes it as "partial 16S ribosomal RNA". It matches the Rfam family "Bacterial small subunit ribosomal RNA", at positions 338 to 795 of the family's 1533-position model. The record is from RNAcentral.
CCUACGGGAGGCAGCAGUGAGGAAUAUUGGUCAAUGGCCGCGAGUCUGAACCAGCCAAGUCGCGUGAAGGAAGACGGCCCUACGGGUUGUAAACCUCUUUUGCCGGGGAGCAAAAAGCGUUACGCGUACCGCAUCGCGAGUACCCUAUGAACAAGCAUCGGCUAACUCCGUGCCAGCAGCCGCGGUAAUACGGAGGAUGCGAGCGUUAUCCGGAUUUAUUGGGUUUAAAGGGUGCGCAGGCGGCGCGUUAAGUCAGCGGUAAAAUGUCGGGGCUCAACCCCGACCAGCCGUUGAAACUGGCGGGCUAGAGUGGGCGAGAAGUAGGCGGAAUGCGUGGUGUAGCGGUGAAAUGCAUAGAUAUCACGCAGAACUCCGAUUGCGAAGGCAGCAUACCGUAGCCCAACUGACGCUCAGGCACGAAAGCGUGGGUAUCGAACAGGAUUAGAUACCCCUGUAGUC